Molecule: ribosomal RNA, 552 nt
Filed under: Sordariomycetes sp. PIMO_272
Lineage: Eukaryota; Fungi; Ascomycota; Sordariomycetes
Description: eukaryotic LSU rRNA
Rfam family: 5.8S ribosomal RNA (bases 190-343)
Source: RNAcentral
CGGAGGGAUCAUUACAAGAAGCCGAAAGGCUACUUCAAACCAUUGCGAACUCGUCCAAGUUGCUUCGGCGGCGCGGCACCCCCUAACGGGGGCGCCGCAGCCCUGCCUCUCCGGAGGUUCGGGGCGCCCGCCGGAGGUACGAAACUCUGUAUUAUAGUGGCAUCUCUGAGUAUAAAGCAAAUAAGUUAAAACUUUCAACAACGGAUCUCUUGGCUCUGGCAUCGAUGAAGAACGCAGCGAAAUGCGAUAAGUAAUGUGAAUUGCAGAAUUCAGUGAAUCAUCGAAUCUUUGAACGCACAUUGCGCCCGGUAGUACUCUACCGGGCAUGCCUGUUCGAGCGUCAUUUCAACCCUCAAGCUCUGCUUGGUGUUGGGGCCCUACGGCUGCCGUAGGCCCUGAAAGGAAGUGGCGGGCUCGCUACAACUCCGAGCGUAGUAAUUCAUUAUCUCGCUAGGGAGGUUGCGGCGUGCUCCUGCCGUUAAAGACCCAUCUUUAACCAAGGUUGACCUCGGAUCAGGUAGGAAUACCCGCUGAACUUAAGCAUAUCAAUAA